UAGCGGCAGGCCUAAUACAUGCAAGUCGAACGGAUGUUAGCAAUAGCAUUAGUGGCGCACGGGUGCGUAACACGUAACUAACCUACCUAUAACUGGGGGAUAGCCCGCCGAAAGGCGGAUUAAUACCGCAUAAGACAUGUGUCCGGCAUCGGGUGUUUGUUAAAGAUUUAUUGGUUAUAGAUGGGGUUGCGGGUCAUUAGCUGGUUGGUAAGGUAACGGCUUACCAAGGCGACGAUGACUAGGGGAGCUGAGAGGCUGGUCCCCCACACGGGCACUGAGAUACGGGCCCGACUCCUACGGGAGGCAGCAGUAGGGAAUAUUGGGCAAUGGGCGAGAGCCUGACCCAGCCAUGCCGCGUGCAGGAAGAAGGCUUUCUGAGUCGUAAACUGCUUUUGAUAGGGAAGAAUAAGGAGUAUGUAUACUCUGAUGACGGUACCUACAGAAUAAGCACCGGCUAACUCCGUGCCAGCAGCCGCGGUAAUACGGAGGGUGCGAGCGUUGUCCGGAUUUAUUGGGUUUAAAGGGUGCGUAGGCGGCUCUUUAAGUCCGGGGUGAAAGCCCGUUGCUCAACAACGGAACUGCCCUGGAUACUGGAGAGCUUGAGUACAGACGAGGUUGGCGGAAUGGACCGAGUAG
This 636-nucleotide ribosomal RNA is filed under the name uncultured bacterium. Its description in RNAcentral is "bacterial SSU rRNA". It matches the Rfam family "Bacterial small subunit ribosomal RNA", at positions 37 to 678 of the family's 1533-position model. The record is from RNAcentral.